AACGAACGCUGGCGGCAGGCCUAACACAUGCCAGUCGAACGCCCCGCAAGGGGAGUGGCAGACGGGUGAGUAACACGUGGGAACCUUCCCUCUAGUACGGAAUAGCCCAGGGAAACUUGGAGUAAUACCGUAUACGCCCGAAAGGGGCAAGAAUUUCGCUAUAGGAUGGGCCCGCGUAGGGUUAGCUGGUUGGUGAGGUAAUGGCUCACCAAGGCGUCGAUCCUUAGCUGGUUUGAGAGAACGACCCGCCACACUGGGACUGGGACGCGGCCCAGACUCCUACGGGAGGCAGCAGUGGGGAAUAUUGGACAGCGGGCGCAAGCCUGAUCCUGCCAUGCCGCGUGAGUGAUGAAGGCAUUAGGGUUGUAAAGCUCUUUUGGCGGGGACGAUAAUGACGGUACCCGCAGAAUAAGUCCCGGCUAACUUCGU
RNAcentral lists this ribosomal RNA (429 nucleotides) under uncultured bacterium. Its description in RNAcentral is "partial 16S ribosomal RNA". It matches the Rfam family "Bacterial small subunit ribosomal RNA", at positions 29 to 506 of the family's 1533-position model. The record is from RNAcentral.